GUGACUCUUGAUCUGUUGGUGACUUGGUUCAGAAGAAUGGGUUCCAGAUGACUUUGGGUUCCAGAUGACUCUGAUUUAUGGUUCCGAAUUCAUGCCGAAGCUCUGAUCCUGUGCCUUGAGAUACACAGCCAACCAGUCGUGUUUGCACCAUUUGCAUCAUAGCAUGUUUAUUUUCAAAAAAAUAAUGCAAUAAAAAAAAGAAAAAAAAAUGAAAAAAGGAGAAAAGAAAAA
This 231-nucleotide long non-coding RNA is filed under the name Lathyrus oleraceus (garden pea). RNAcentral's name for it is "Pisum sativum (pea) long non-coding RNA (PSAT_LNC004892)". Lineage: Eukaryota; Viridiplantae; Streptophyta; Magnoliopsida; Fabales; Fabaceae. The record is from RNAcentral.